ACCUCGCAGUCGANCGGCAGCACGGGAGCAAUCCUGGUGGCGAGUGGCGAACGGGUGAGUAAUAUAUCGGAACGUGCCCAGUCGUGGGGGAUAACGCAGCGAAAGCUGUGUUAAUACCGCAUACGAUCUCUGGAUGAAAGCGGGGGACUCGCAAGAGCCUCGCGCGAUUGGAGCGGCCGAUAUCAGAUUAGCUAGUUGGUGGGGUAAAGGCUCACCAAGGCGACGAUCUGUAGCUGGUCUGAGAGGACGACCAGCCACACUGGAACUGAGACACGGUCCAGACUCCUACGGGAGGCAGCAGUGGGGAAUUUUGGACAAUGGGCGCAAGCCUGAUCCAGCAAUGCCGCGUGCAGGAUGAAGGCCUUCGGGUUGUAAACUGCUUUUGUACGGAACGAAACGGUUCUCUCUAAUAAAGAGGGCUAAUGACGGUACCGUAAGAAUAAGCACCGGCUAACUACGUGCCAGCAGCCGCGGUAAUACGUAGGGUGCGAGCGUUAAUCGGAAUUACUGGGCGUAAAGCGUGCGCAGGCGGUGAUGUAAGACAGAUGUGAAAUCCCCGGGCUCAACCUGGGACCUGCAUUUGUGACUGCAUCGCUAGAGUACGGUAGAGGGGGAUGGAAUUCCGCGUGUAGCAGUGAAAUGCGUAGAUAUGCGGAGGAACACCGAUGGCGAAGGCAAUCCCCUGGACCUGUACUGACGCUCAUGCACGAAAGCGUGGGGAGCAAACAGGAUUAGAUACCCUGGUAGUCCACGCCCUAAACGAUGUCAACUGGUUGUUGGGUCUUUACUGACUCAGUAACGAAGCUGAUGCGUGAAGUUGACCGCCUGGGAGUACGGCCGCAGGUUGAAACUCAAGGAAUUGACGGGGACCCGCACAAGCGGUGGAUGAUGUGGUUUAUUCCGAUGCAACGCGAAGAACCUUACC
RNAcentral lists this ribosomal RNA (925 nucleotides) under uncultured bacterium. Its description in RNAcentral is "bacterial SSU rRNA". It matches the Rfam family "Bacterial small subunit ribosomal RNA", at positions 53 to 975 of the family's 1533-position model. The record is from RNAcentral.